Molecule: ribosomal RNA, 55 nt
Filed under: Pezicula alnicola
Lineage: Eukaryota; Fungi; Ascomycota; Leotiomycetes; Helotiales; Dermateaceae
Description: partial 28S ribosomal RNA
Source: RNAcentral
GGUUGACCUCGAAUCAGGUAGGGAUACCCGCUGAACUUAAGCAUAUCAAUAAGCG